RNAcentral lists this ribosomal RNA (301 nucleotides) under uncultured bacterium. Its description in RNAcentral is "partial 16S ribosomal RNA". It matches the Rfam family "Bacterial small subunit ribosomal RNA", at positions 509 to 807 of the family's 1533-position model. The record is from RNAcentral.
CAGUAGCCACGGUAAUACGAAGGGUGCAAGCGUUAAUCGGAAUUACUGGGCGUAAAGCGUGCGUAGGCGGUUUGUUAAGUCUGCUGUGAAAUCCCCGGGCUCAACCUGGGAAUGGCAGUGGAUACUGGCAAGCUAGAGUGUGUCAGAGGAUGGUGGAAUUCCCGGUGUAGCGGUGAAAUGUGUAGAGAUCGGGAGGAACAUCAGUGGCGAAGGCGGCCAUCUGGGACAACACUGACGCUGAGGCACGAAAGCGUGGGGAGCAAACAGGAUUAGAUACCCCCGUAGUCCCUGUCUCUUAUAC